GAAACCGCGUAUGGCUCAUUAUAACAGCUAAAAUUUACUUGAUUUUGACAAAUCCUACAUGGAUAACUGUGGUAAUUCUGGAGCUAAUACAUGCAUAAAAGGUUUCUUUUUUUAAAAGAAAUUGCGUAUAUUAGUGUUAAAACCAAGCAUUCUCUGAAUGUUUUGUGUUGAACCUGAAUAUAUCUGCUGAUCGAAUGGUCUUGUACCGUCGACAUGUCAUACAAGUGUCUGAUCUAUCAACUUUCUAUAUAAGUAUAUAGUACUUAUAUGGUUUUGACGGAUAACGGGGUAUUAGGGUACGACUCCGGAGAAAACGCCUGAGAAACGGCGUUUACAUCCAAGGAAGGCAGCAGGCGCGAAAAUUACCCACUCUCAGUUCGAGGAGGUAGUGACGAGAAAUGACAAGAUCUAUUCCUUCGGGGAUGGAUCAUUGGAAUGGUUUGAUUUUAAAAUCAUUAAAGAGUAUCAAUGAGAGGGCAAGUCUGGUGCCAGCAGCCGCGGUAAUUCCAGCUCUCAUACUGCAUUGAAUUGUUGUUGCGGUUAAAAAGCUCGUAGUUGGAUCUGUACAUGAUAGGUUUGUUCAUCCUUUGGAUUGUAACAAAUACUAAAUGUUUUUUAUUAGAUUUUAUUUUUUCAUUUAUGGAAAAAUAUGUCUAAUGAGUUUACUUUGAAUAAAUCAGAGUGCUCAAAACAGGCGUAAGCUUGUAUGGUUUUGCAUGGAAUAAUAGAACAUGACUAUGGUUCAUGUUUUCAUUGGUUUUACCUACCAUAGUAAUGAUUAAAAGGAACAAACGGGGGCAUCCGUAUCGCAAGGCGAGAGGUGAAAUUCGUGGACCCUUGCGAGACGAACUACAGCGAAGGCAUUUGCCAAGAAUGUUUUCAUUAAUCAAGAACGAAAGUCAGAGGUUCGAC
This 912-nucleotide ribosomal RNA is filed under the name Panagrolaimus sp. RNAcentral's name for it is "bacterial SSU rRNA". It matches the Rfam family "Eukaryotic small subunit ribosomal RNA", at positions 83 to 1002 of the family's 1831-position model. The record is from RNAcentral. Lineage: Eukaryota; Metazoa; Nematoda; Chromadorea; Rhabditida; Panagrolaimidae.